UGAGGAAUAUUGGUCAAUGGACGAGAGUCUGAACCAGCCAAGUAGCGUGAAGGAUGACUGCCCUAUGGGUUGUAAACUUCUUUUAUACGGGAAUAAAGUGAGGCACGUGUGCCUUUUUGUAUGUACCGUAUGAAUAAGGAUCAGCUAACUCCGUGCCAGCAGCCGCGGUAAUACGGAGGAUCCGAGCGUUAUCCGGAUUUAUUGGGUUUAAAGGGAGCGUAGGCGGACGCUUAAGUCAGUUGUGAAAGUUUGCGGCUCAACCGUAAAAUUGCAGUUGAUACUGGGUGUCUUGAGUACAGUAGAGGCAGGCGGAAUUCGUGGUGUAGCGGUGAAAUGCUUAGAUAUCACGAAGAGCUCCGAUUGCGAAGGCAGCUUGCUGGACUGUAACUGACGCUGAUGCUCGAAAGUGUGGGUAUCAAACAGGAUUAGAUACCCUGGUAGUCCACACAGUAAACGAUGAAUACUCGCUGUUUGCGAUAUACAGUAAGCGGCCAAGCGAAAGCGUUAAGUAUUCCACCUGGGGAGUACGCCGGCAACGGUGAAACUCAAAGGAAUUGACGGGGGCCCGCACAAGCGGAGGAACAUGUGGUUUAAUUCGAUGAUACGCGAGGAACCUUACCCGGGCUUGAAUUGCAACUGAAUGAUGUGGAGACAUGUCAGCCGCAAGGCAGUUGUGAAGGUGCUGCAUGGUUGUCGUCAGCUCGUGCCGUGAGGUGUCGGCUUAAGUGCCAUAACGAGCGCAACCCUUAUCGAUAGUUACCAUCAGGUUAUGCUGGGGACUCUGUCGAGACUGCCGUCGUAAGAUGUGAGGAAGGUGGGGAUGACGUCAAAUCAGCACGGCCCUUACGUCCGGGGCUACACACGUGUUACAAUGGGGGGUACAGAAGGCAGCUACACGGCGACGUGAUGCUAAUCCCGAAAGCCUCUCUCAGUUCGGAUUGGAGUCUGCAACCCGACUCCAUGAAGCUGGAUUCGCUAGUAAUCGCGCAUCAGCCACGGCGCGGUGAAUACGUUCCC
This 1017-nucleotide ribosomal RNA is filed under the name uncultured organism. RNAcentral's name for it is "bacterial SSU rRNA". It matches the Rfam family "Bacterial small subunit ribosomal RNA", at positions 355 to 1375 of the family's 1533-position model. The record is from RNAcentral.